Molecule: transfer RNA, 72 nt
Filed under: Albula glossodonta (roundjaw bonefish)
Lineage: Eukaryota; Metazoa; Chordata; Actinopteri; Albuliformes; Albulidae
Rfam family: tRNA
About the family: Transfer RNA (tRNA) molecules are approximately 80 nucleotides in length. Their secondary structure includes four short double-helical elements and three loops (D, anti-codon, and T loops).
Source: Rfam by way of RNAcentral
AGCAGAGUGGCGCAGCAGAAGCAUGCUGGGCCCAUAACCCAGACGUUGGUGGAUCAAAACCAUUCUCUGCUA